Molecule: long non-coding RNA, 768 nt
Filed under: Androctonus crassicauda
Lineage: Eukaryota; Metazoa; Arthropoda; Arachnida; Scorpiones; Buthidae
Source: RNAcentral
UCUUACUUUGCCUGUCUGCUUUGUGUUCUUGUAUUCUUUUAUUUGUGGAUCUCGUGGUUGAACCAAUAUAGGUUUCUUCUUGUUUUGUGUCUUUGUUGUCGGUUUUUGUUUUGCACAUCCCUGGCAUGUCCCUUGCACAUUCCUGGCAUGGGAAAUGGCGAUUAAUGCCCGGAAGGAUAAUAAGAAAAUGAAGGAAGAGAUUAACUUCAAUAAGAAAGUGAAGAAGGCUGCUAAAUGACUAAGGGAGAAUAAAAUUGUGUGUGCAAAGGACGAUAAAUCCAAAGCCGUUGUAAUACUACAAGAAGAAUUGUACAAUAGUUAUAUAGAAGAAUAUAUACAAAAGGCAGGUAUGAUUAGCAUUAAUGAAGACAACAGAAAAAAUAGUGCGACAACUUGAUAAAAUCUUGAGAUCAAAGGGAUGCCCGCAAUUUCUGAAGAACACCAAAGUUAUUUCACCAAAAACACCUAGAACGUUUGCUUUUAUUAAAACACACAAAACACCUAUUUCCAUUAGACCCGUUGUUGAAAGGAGAGAUGUGCCGACAAUACUGGUGAAGAAAACAUUAGCGAAUUUGGCAAGAGAAAAUUAUGAAAGGAUACAAAUGGUUACUGACAUCAUCAAGACAAUUUUGAGAUGCACUAUAUGAGAAAGGCCCUCUCCCAGAAGAAAAUAUGGAAGUGUAUGACUACGAAGCAUUAUAUCCCUCUAUUAAAUUGGAACCGGCCCGCUUACUAUUAUAUCAUAUACUAUUAGAGAACUUAACAGAA